RNAcentral lists this ribosomal RNA (109 nucleotides) under Vibrio cholerae. Its description in RNAcentral is "partial 16S ribosomal RNA". It matches the Rfam family "Bacterial small subunit ribosomal RNA", at positions 1 to 102 of the family's 1533-position model. The record is from RNAcentral. RNAcentral also lists the same sequence under 1 other name. Lineage: Bacteria; Pseudomonadati; Pseudomonadota; Gammaproteobacteria; Vibrionales; Vibrionaceae.
UAAUUGAAGAGUUUGAUCAUGGCUCAGAUUGAACGCUGGCGGCAGGCCUAACACAUGCAAGUCGAGCGGCAGCACAGAGGAACUUGUUCCUUGGGUGGCGAGCGGCGGA